RNAcentral lists this ribosomal RNA (451 nucleotides) under uncultured organism. RNAcentral's name for it is "partial 16S ribosomal RNA". It matches the Rfam family "Bacterial small subunit ribosomal RNA", at positions 332 to 799 of the family's 1533-position model. The record is from RNAcentral.
UACACUCCUGCGGGAGGCAGCAGUGGGGAAUAUUGGACAAUGGGCGCAAGCCUGAUCCAGCCAUGCCGCGUGAGUGAUGAAGGCCCUAGGGUUGUAAAGCUCUUUCACCGGUGAAGAUAAUGACGGUAACCGGAGAAGAAGCCCCGGCUAACUUCGUGCCAGCAGCCGCGGUAAUACGAAGGGGGCUAGCGUUGUUCGGAUUUACUGGGCGUAAAGCGCACGUAGGCGGACUAUUAAGUCAGGGGUGAAAUCCCGGGGCUCAACCCCGGAACUGCCUUUGAUACUGGUAGUCUUGAGUUCGAGGGAGGUGAGUGGAAUUCCGAGUGUAGAGGUGAAAUUCGUAGAUAUUCGGAGGAACACCAGUGGCGAAGGCGGCUCACUGGCUCGAUACUGACGCUGAGGUGCGAAAGCGUGGGGAGCAAACAGGAUUAGAUACCCGUGUAGUCCCAUG